GACGAACGCUGGCGGCGUGCCUAAUACAUGCAAGUCGAGCGAAGUUUUUCUGGUGCUUGCACUAGAAAAACUUAGCGGCGAACGGGUGAGUAACACGUAAAGAACCUGCCUCAUAGACUGGGACAACUAUUGGAAACGAUAGCUAAUACCGGAUAACAGUAUUUCUCGCAUGAGAGAUAUUUAAAAGUUGGUUAUGCUAACACUAUGAGAUGGCUUUGCGGUGCAUUAGCUAGUUGGUGGGGUAAAGGCCCACCAAGGCGACGAUGCAUAGCCGACCUGAGAGGGUGAUCGGCCACACUGGGACUGAGACACGGCCCAGACUCCUACGGGAGGCAGCAGUAGGGAAUCUUCCGCAAUGGGCGAAAGCCUGACGGAGCAACGCCGCGUGAGUGAAGAAGGAUUUCGGUUCGUAAAGCUCUGUUGUUAGGGAAGAAUGGAUAUGUAGUAACUA
Molecule: ribosomal RNA, 451 nt
Filed under: Gemella morbillorum
Lineage: Bacteria; Bacillati; Bacillota; Bacilli; Caryophanales; Gemellaceae
Description: bacterial SSU rRNA
Rfam family: Bacterial small subunit ribosomal RNA
Source: RNAcentral